UGCCCCUUGAAUGCCAUUCUU
RNAcentral lists this microRNA (21 nucleotides) under Populus x canadensis (hybrid black poplar). RNAcentral describes it as "PC-5p-1312398_1". Lineage: Eukaryota; Viridiplantae; Streptophyta; Magnoliopsida; Malpighiales; Salicaceae. The record is from RNAcentral.